AUUGAACGCUGGCGGAAUGCUUUACACAUGCAGGUCGAACGGCAGCACGGACUUCGGUCUGGUGGCGAGUGGCGAACGGGUGAGUAAUAUAUCGGAACGUGCCCAGUCGUGGGGGAUAACGUAGUGAAAAUUACGCUAAUACCGCAUACGAUCUACGGAUGAAAGCGGGGGAUCGCAAGACCUCGCGCGAUUGGAGCGGCCGAUAUCAGAUUAGGUAGUUGGUGAGGUAAAGGCUCACCAAGCCAACGAUCUGUAGCUGGUCUGAGAGGACGACCAGCCACACUGGGACUGAGACACGGCCCAGACGCCUACGGGAGGCAGCAGUGGGGAAUUUUGGACAAUGGACGCAAGUCUGAUCCAGCCAUUCCGCGUGCAGGACGAAGGCCUUCGGGUUGUAAACUGCUUUUGUACAGAACGAAAAGGUCUUUAUUAAUACUAGGGGCUCAUGACGGUACUGUAAGAAUAAGCACCGGUUAACUACGUGCCAGCAGCCGCCGUAA
RNAcentral lists this ribosomal RNA (500 nucleotides) under uncultured bacterium. RNAcentral describes it as "partial 16S ribosomal RNA". It matches the Rfam family "Bacterial small subunit ribosomal RNA", at positions 30 to 523 of the family's 1533-position model. The record is from RNAcentral.